UACGUAGGGUGCGAGCGUUGCCCGGAUUUAUUGGGCGUAAAGGGCGCGUAGGCGGCCACGCACGUCCGUUGUGAAAUCGCCCGGCUCAACUGGGCGGGGUCGGCGGAUACGGCGUGGCUGGAGCAAGCUAGGGGGCAAUGGAAUUCCCGGUGUAGUGGUGGAAUGCGUAGAUAUCGGGAGGAACACCAGUGGCGAAGGCGGUUGCCUGGAGCUUUGCUGACGCUGAGGCGCGAAGGCGCGGGGAGCGAACGGG
Molecule: ribosomal RNA, 253 nt
Filed under: uncultured bacterium
Lineage: Bacteria
Description: partial 16S ribosomal RNA
Rfam family: Bacterial small subunit ribosomal RNA
Source: RNAcentral